AGGGAUAUAGCUCAGUGGCACAGCAUUUGUCUGGUAAGCACAUGAUGCUGAGUUCAAUUCCUGGUCUCUUUC
Molecule: transfer RNA, 72 nt
Filed under: Cavia porcellus (domestic guinea pig)
Lineage: Eukaryota; Metazoa; Chordata; Mammalia; Rodentia; Caviidae
Rfam family: tRNA
About the family: Transfer RNA (tRNA) molecules are approximately 80 nucleotides in length. Their secondary structure includes four short double-helical elements and three loops (D, anti-codon, and T loops). Further hydrogen bonds mediate the characteristic L-shaped molecular structure. tRNAs have two regions of fundamental functional importance: the anti-codon, which is responsible for specific mRNA codon recognition, and the 3' end, to which the tRNAs corresponding amino acid is attached (by aminoacyl-tRNA synthetases). tRNAs cope with the degeneracy of the genetic code in two manners: having more than one tRNA (with a specific anti-codon) for a particular amino acid; and 'wobble' base-pairing, i.e. permitting non-standard base-pairing at the 3rd anti-codon position.
Source: Rfam by way of RNAcentral